ACAGCAGCCGCCACGGUAAUACGAGGGGGGCAAGCGUUGUUCGGAAUUAUUGGGCGUAAAGGGUGCGUAGGCGGUUUGACAAGUCAUCUGUGAAAUCUAUGGGCUCAACCCAUAGUCUGCAGGCGAAACUGUCGGGCUUGAGUAUUGGAGAGGUGAGUGGAAUUUCCGGUGUAGCGGUGAAAUGCGUAGAUAUCGGAAGGAACACCUGUGGCGAAAGCGGCUCACUGGACAAUAACUGACGCUGAUGCACGAAAGCUAGGGGAGCAAACAGGAUUAGAUACCCGGGUAGUCCCUGUCUCUUAUAC
RNAcentral lists this ribosomal RNA (305 nucleotides) under uncultured bacterium. Its description in RNAcentral is "partial 16S ribosomal RNA". It matches the Rfam family "Bacterial small subunit ribosomal RNA", at positions 508 to 807 of the family's 1533-position model. The record is from RNAcentral.